UUAAGCGACUAAGCGUACACGGUGGAUGCCCUGGCAGUCAGAGGCGAUGAAGGACGUGCUAAUCUGCGAAAAGCGUCGGUAAGGUGAUAUGAACCGUUAUAGCCGGCGAUGUCCGAAUGGGGAAACCCAGUGUGAUUCGUCACACUAUCGUUAACUGAAUACAUAGGUUAACGAGGCGAACCGGGGGAACUGAAACAUCUAAGUACCCCGAGGAAAAGAAAUCAACCGAGAUUCCCCCAGUAGCGGCGAGCGAACGGGGAGCAGCCCAGAGUCUGAAUCAGCUUGUGUGUUAGUGGAACGGUCUGGAAAGUCCGACGGUACAGGGUGAUAGUCCCGUACACCAAAAUGCACAGGCUGUGAACUCGAAGAGUAGGGCGGGACACGUGGUAUCCUGUCUGAAUAUGGGGGGACCAUCCUCCAAGGCUAAAUACUCCUGACUGACCGAUAGUGAACCAGUACCGUGAGGGAAAGGCGAAAAGAACCCCGGCGAGGGGAGUGAAAAAGAACCUGAAACCGUGUACGUACAAGCAGUGGGAGCACCUUCGGGUGUGACUGCGUACCUUUUGUAUAAUGGGUCAGCGACUUAUAUUCUGUAGCAAGGUUAACCGUAUAGGGGAGCCGCAGGGAAACCGAGUCUUAACUGGGCGUUAAGUUGCAGGGUAUAGACCCGAAACCCGGUGAUCUAGCCAUGGGCAGGUUGAAGGUUGGGUAACACUAACUGGAGGACCGAACCGACUAAUGUUGAAAAAUUAGCGGAUGACUUGUGGCUGGGGGUGAAAGGCCAAUCAAACCGGGAGAUAGCUGGUUCUCCCCGAAAGCUAUUUAGGUAGCGCCUCGUGAACUCAUCUUCGGGGGUAGAGCACUGUUUCGGCUAGGGGGUCAUCCCGACUUACCAACCCGAUGCAAACUACGAAUACCGAAGAAUGUUAUCACGGGAGACACACGGCGGGUGCUAACGUCCGUCGUGAAGAGGGAAACAACCCAGACCGCCAGCUAAGGUCCCAAAGUCAUGGUUAAGUGGGAAACGAUGUGGGAAGGCACAGACAGCCAGGAUGUUGGCUUAGAAGCAGCCAUCAUUUAAAGAAAGCGUAAUAGCUCACUGGUCGAGUCGGCCUGCGCGGAAGAUGUAACGGGGCUAAACCAUGCACCGAAGCUGCGGCAGCGACACGAUGUGUUGUUGGGUAGGGGAGCGUUCUGUAAGCCUGCGAAGGUGGCCUGUGAGGGUUGCUGGAGGUAUCAGAAGUGCGAAUGCUGACAUAAGUAACGAUAAAGCGGGUGAAAAGCCCGCUCGCCGGAAGACCAAGGGUUCCUGUCCAACGUUAAUCGGGGCAGGGUGAGUCGACCCCUAAGGCGAGGCCGAAAGGCGUAGUCGAUGGGAAACAGGUUAAUAUUCCUGUACUUGGUGUUACUGCGAAGGGGGGACGGAGAAGGCUAUGUUAGCCGGGCGACGGUUGUCCCGGUUUAAGCAUGUAGGCUGGUUAUCCAGGCAAAUCCGGAUAAUCAAGGCUGAGGUGUGAUGACGAGGCACUACGGUGCUGAAGUAACAAAUGCCCUGCUUCCAGGAAAAGCCUCUAAGCAUCAGGUAACAUCAAAUCGUACCCCAAACCGACACAGGUGGUCAGGUAGAGAAUACCAAGGCGCUUGAGAGAACUCGGGUGAAGGAACUAGGCAAAAUGGUGCCGUAACUUCGGGAGAAGGCACGCUGGUGUGUAGGUGAAGUCCCUGCGGAUGGAGCUGAGACCAGUCGAAGAUACCAGCUGGCUGCAACUGUUUAUUAAAAACACAGCACUGUGCAAACACGAAAGUGGACGUAUACGGUGUGACGCCUGCCCGGUGCCGGAAGGUUAAUUGAUGGGGUUAUCCGUAAGGAGAAGCUCUUGAUCGAAGCCCGGUAAACGGCGGCCGUAACUAUAACGGUCCUAAGGUAGCGAAAUUCCUUGUCGGGUAAGUUCCGACCUGCACGAAUGGCGUAAUGAUGGCCAGGCUGUCUCCACCCGAGACUCAGUGAAAUUGAACUCGCUGUGAAGAUGCAGUGUACCCGCGGCAAGACGGAAAGACCCCGUGAACCUUUACUAUAGCUUGACACUGAACAUUGAGCCUUGAUGUGUAGGAUAGGUGGGAGGCUUUGAAGCGUGGACGCCAGUCUGCGUGGAGCCAACCUUGAAAUACCACCCUUUAAUGUUUGAUGUUCUAACGUUGGCCCCUUAUCGGGGUUGCGGACAGUGUCUGGUGGGUAGUUUGACUGGGGCGGUCUCCUCCCAAAGCGUAACGGAGGAGCACGAAGGUUAGCUAAUCCUGGUCGGACAUCAGGAGGUUAGUGCAAUGGCAUAAGCUAGCUUGACUGCGAGCGUGACGGCGCGAGCAGGUGCGAAAGCAGGUCAUAGUGAUCCGGUGGUUCUGAAUGGAAGGGCCAUCGCUCAACGGAUAAAAGGUACUCCGGGGAUAACAGGCUGAUACCGCCCAAGAGUUCAUAUCGACGGCGGUGUUUGGCACCUCGAUGUCGGCUCAUCACAUCCUGGGGCUGAAGUAGGUCCCAAGGGUAUGGCUGUUCGCCAUUUAAAGUGGUACGCGAGCUGGGUUUAGAACGUCGUGAGACAGUUCGGUCCCUAUCUGCCGUGGGCGCUGGAGAAUUGAGGGGGGCUGCUCCUAGUACGAGAGGACCGGAGUGGACGCAUCACUGGUGUUCGGGUUGUCAUGCCAAUGGCACUGCCCGGUAGCUAAAUGCGGAAGAGAUAAGUGCUGAAAGCAUCUAAGCACGAAACUUGCCCCGAGAUGAGUUCUCCCUGAGACUUUAAGUCUCCUGAAGGAACGUUGAAGACGACGACGUUGAUAGGCCGGGUGUGUAAGCGCAGCGAUGCGUUGAGCUAACCGGUACUAAUGAACCGUGAGGCUUAACCU
RNAcentral lists this ribosomal RNA (2898 nucleotides) under Klebsiella quasipneumoniae. Its description in RNAcentral is "23S ribosomal RNA". It matches the Rfam family "Bacterial large subunit ribosomal RNA". Lineage: Bacteria; Pseudomonadati; Pseudomonadota; Gammaproteobacteria; Enterobacterales; Enterobacteriaceae. The record is from RNAcentral.